UAAAAUGUUCUCAAUUCACUCUCUCUCUCUACCAUUGCUGAGAAAACAAUUACAUUUGACCUCCUUUUUCUUUCUCUUCUCUUCCUUUUAUUUUUCUUUAAGUGAAAUAAAAUAGCCACCAGCCAACCAACACUGGCUACACGGUUGGUGAACCACCGGAACAACCCUAAACCACAAGUCACCUAAGGCAUCGGAGAACCAUCAACAAGCGUAGAUGCGACACCAGCAACAGCCAAUAACCACCGUGCCACUGGAGAAAACACAAACUUUACCUGCAAGGUUCUUAAAUAGCUUGUUUCUGAGGUACUAAAAAUGCAAACUAAAAGCCCCACUUGAUUUUCUUCUCAGACUUGUAAUUUUUAAAUUUUAAUUAGUUGAAUAAGAUGUAAAGGUUGAGUUUGUUCAAUUUUAUUUGAAAAAUUGUAGAUUUUCGGUGUAUGUUAUUAACAAAAUGCUUUUUCUAAGGUGCAAUAUUUAAGUGUUUUGUCCACUUUAGAUAACUAUUUUCUUUUCAUAUUUUCCGAGGAGUCUAGAGUGUUUUUUACAUCAAUGUAGGGAUUAUGAGACAUUGUAAAGAUUGUCUAUUUGAUUCCUGGCAAUAUGAAUGUUCAUGGUACUUGAUUUAAUCACCAAAGUUGGUGUUUUUUCCGUUUUGAGAUGAUUAAGUCAAGAGCAUUGAAAUUUCAUACUGUAAAGAACUUAGAUUUUAAUGGUAAAAAGAUUAAAAUGCAUUUGUCUGUCAAGUGCUUCAAUUGCAGCAUUUUACUUUUUAUGUACUUUUUGGUGAAAUUGGAAUCAUUGCGUGUCUGUAGUUUUUAUUCAUGGGGCUGUGUGAUCUCUAUGAUUUCGGCUAGACAGUUCUUACUUUAUCUUGUGGUUGCAGUAUUAUCUCGUGGCUAGUUGUGUUAGUUUAUUUUUCAUUUAGCUUUUGUGUUUGUGAUACUAUUAUCGGUUCUAAGCUGGGGUCUAUCAAAAAUAGCCUCUCUACUUCAUGUGAGGUAGUGGUAGGGUUUGCAUACCCUCUUUCCUCCCCAGACCCUACUAUGUAGGAAUAAACUGGGUAUGUUGUUGUUGUUGUUCUCCCAUUACUGACAAACACCUACUACUCACUCUACAUUGCCGACAAAUACUAACUACGAGCUUGUGAAUAAUUAACUCUUAGUUUAUUCCUCAAAUAGUUGAGUGGUCGCUAAUUUUGCCCUAGCAUCAAUAAUAAUUAUACGCAAUUUGUAGAUGCACAAUAUGAGCUUGUGAGGGAUCCGAUGCUCAGCUUUGCCAAUUAUAUUCAUCUUUGUCAAUUGUAAAAGGUUUUCUUCUUAACUAUUCGGUCUUCUUCCUUGGGUUAUUGUAGAUCUCGAAUUUGAGGUAUGCUUUCUAUUCCAAAUAGACAACCCUGUAAACUUUGGAGCUCCAAUUUACUCAAUUUUUAAGUUGUGUUGGAUUCUCUAACUUGUUUAAUCCUUUCCAACAAAAUACAAAUUGUGAAAGAACAUUUAUGAAACAAAGAUGCUGAGAUAAGCCUUUGGGAUGGGCAAUCCUCUUAUUGAAUGUCACAAUACAUUUUAACUUUAUUUUCCAUGCUUUGGUAAAUAUAACAUAUCAACUUUCUAAUAUCAGUAAGGUAUAAAUAAUGUUUAUAUAUGUUAUUUUACACAUAUACCAAAAAUAUCUUUCUUUUUUUCUUGUUUUGCUAUAGUAGACUAGCACCUCUCUUAAACAAAUAGUUUUUUAUGUGGACAGAGCUCUACUCAGACUAUUUGUGCAACCUGCGUUUAUAAAUUUAUGUCACAGAUACCAAUGGUAAACUAAGAAUGAGAGAAAAUCAAGGGGAAGUCUAAGUAAUAUCAUUUGGUAAGUGUAAAGGUAAUGUCUAUUGGCUGGUUCAUCUUGGGAUCUUAUAGCAAGUAAAGUUUUUAUUUUUUGUUUGUAAGAAAGCAGAUCAAUCAUGAAUAUCAACUCGGGAUAAAGGGCUUUCAUGGGAGGUCUCAUUGAAUCUCAUGGCGGAAAGGAAGGGACAGAUAAUGAAAAAUAACCUGACUGAUUUACGAUCUUACAAUAAAGUGUUGAUGGUUUACUUUCCAGCGUCUGUAUAGUUGAAAAAUAG
RNAcentral lists this long non-coding RNA (2104 nucleotides) under Capsicum annuum. RNAcentral describes it as "long non-coding RNA (CANN_LNC004985)". Lineage: Eukaryota; Viridiplantae; Streptophyta; Magnoliopsida; Solanales; Solanaceae. The record is from RNAcentral.